UGGGGAAUAUUGGACAAUGGGCGCAAGCCUGAUCCAGCCAUGCCGCGUGCGUGAUGAAGGCCCUAGGGUUGUAAAGCUCUUUCACCGGUGAAGAUAAUGACGGUAACCGGAUAAGAAGCCCCGGCUAACUUCGUGCCAGCAGCCGCGGUAAUACGAAGGGGGCUAGCGUUGUUCGGAUUUACUGGGCGUAAAGCGCACGUAGGCGGACUAUUAAGUCAGGGGUGAAAUCCCGGGGCUCAACCCCGGAACUGCCUUUGAUACUGGUAGUCUUGAGUUCGAGAGAGGUGAGUGGAAUUCCGAGUGUAGAGGUGAAAUUCGUAGAUAUUCGGAGGAACACCAGUGGCGAAGGCGGCUCACUGGCUCGAUACUGACGCUGAGGUGCGAAAGCGUGGGGAGCAAACAGG
RNAcentral lists this ribosomal RNA (404 nucleotides) under Actinomycetes bacterium. Its description in RNAcentral is "Actinobacteria bacterium partial 16S ribosomal RNA". It matches the Rfam family "Bacterial small subunit ribosomal RNA", at positions 355 to 776 of the family's 1533-position model. The record is from RNAcentral. Lineage: Bacteria; Bacillati; Actinomycetota; Actinomycetes.